Dipodomys spectabilis (banner-tailed kangaroo rat) is the source of this 270-nucleotide long non-coding RNA. RefSeq lists it as uncharacterized. The record is from RefSeq and is a predicted model, not a curated record. NCBI's taxonomy places the organism in Eukaryota, Metazoa, Chordata, Mammalia, Rodentia, Heteromyidae. The transcript has 3 exons.
UUCUGUGUGUGUACUCAGAACUUGAAGGAUGAAGAUCAUGAAUUAUGUAGCUGUGCAGUACUGAUGGCAAUGCAGGCCAUGAUGAUGAGAUGAAUGUACUGAGCAGCCAAGAAGAGCAUUACAGCUCUUCUGAAGGCACCACUUCCUCAGGCGCUUCAUCAGGUGGUGCAGAAUCUUCACCCUGGUCUGUAACUUCUAUUUCCGCUAAAGACAUAGGCAUAACUGAUCUCUUUGUCCAAGUGAUGAACAUAGUUAUAAGGCGUUACUGGC